Molecule: ribosomal RNA, 695 nt
Filed under: Pseudomonas aeruginosa
Lineage: Bacteria; Pseudomonadati; Pseudomonadota; Gammaproteobacteria; Pseudomonadales; Pseudomonadaceae
Description: bacterial SSU rRNA
Rfam family: Bacterial small subunit ribosomal RNA
Source: RNAcentral
CUACCUGCAGUCGAGCGGAUGAAGGGAGCUUGCUCCUGGAUUCGGCGGUGGACGGGUGAGUAAUGCCUACGAAUCUGCCUGGUAGUGGGGGAUAACGUCCGGAAACGGGCGCUAAUACCGCAUACGUCCUGAGGGAGAAAGUGGGGGAUCUUCGGACCUCACGCUAUCACAUGAGCCUAUGUCGGAUUAACUAGUUGGGGGGGUAAAGGCCUACCAAGGCGACGAUCCGUAACUGGUCUGAGAGGAUGAUCACUCACACUGGAACUGAGACCCGGGCCACACUCCUACGGGAGGCACUAGUGGGGAAUAUUGGACAAUGGGCGAAAGCCUGAUCCAGCCAUGCCGCGUGUGUGAAGAAGGUCUUCGGAUUGAAAAGCACUUUAAGUUGGGAGGAAGGGCAGUAGGAUAAUACCUUGCUGUUUUGACGUUACCAACAGAAUAAGCACCGGCUAACUUCGUGCCAGCAGCCGCGGUAAUACGAAGGGUGCAAGCGUUAAUCGGAAUUACUGGGCGUAAAGCGCGCGUACGUGGUUCAGCAAGUUGGAUGUGAAAUCCCCGGGCUCAACCUGGGAACUGCAUCCAAGACUACUGAGCUAGAGUACGGUAGAGGGUGGUGGAAUUUCCUGUGUAGCGGUGAAAUGCGUAGAUAUAAGAAGGAACACCAGUGGCGAAAGCGACCACCUGGACUGAUACUG